Molecule: transfer RNA, 66 nt
Filed under: Hierodula sp. JYZ-2020
Lineage: Eukaryota; Metazoa; Arthropoda; Insecta; Mantodea; Mantidae
Description: tRNA-Gly
Source: RNAcentral
AUUUAUUUAAUAUAAAAAGUAUAUUUGAUUUCCAAUCAAAAAGUCUUAUCAUCUAUAGAAUAAAUA